Molecule: long non-coding RNA, 618 nt
Filed under: Homo sapiens (human)
Lineage: Eukaryota; Metazoa; Chordata; Mammalia; Primates; Hominidae
Description: uncharacterized LOC101928721, transcript variant 4 (LOC101928721)
Source: RNAcentral
GUUACUUGACUGGUACCUCCAGCCCACCAGCAGGCAAUGAUGGCAUCAGACUAGAGGAUCACCAGUAAAUCAUUGUAAACAAGCGUGGAAAGAGAGAAAGUCCACUUUAAGCGAUGGAAAAUCAGCCCCAAUUCUGAAGGAACAACCAUGAACAGAUGAUUUAAGGAGAAUCAAUUCUUUGCUCUUUGCAGAAGGAGCCAACAGAGUGAGAUGAAGGGGACAACUUCAGAUACUCAGGCAGAAGCAUAAGUCCCCACCUGCUGACCUGCUGCCUGCUAUCUUAACACGAAUUCUUCAUCUGAAUGGAUGAGCUUUUCACAGAGUUCCAAACUAAGGAAUCCAGGAGUGGCCAAUCCAGAGAUUCAUUCCUUAUCUUUGACGAACAUCUGAACUCCUGGCUCAUCCUGUGGAAUUCAGGCCAUACAGGAGAUCAAGGUCAUUUGCUUUGGGUUAAAUGAAUGUUGCCAGGUGGAGGUUGCUAGAGGGAGAGUGCUAUGUGAAAGUGCUGUAUAAACUGCUUGCUUUUCACAAACAGUAGUGAUUCUUUAUCCUGUCCAGCCUGCCACAACUGGACCAUCCUGUAUGUAAGUCCCCUUAAUAAAUCCUGUGUCUCAUUCA